Molecule: unclassified non-coding RNA, 3628 nt
Filed under: Hevea brasiliensis (rubber tree)
Lineage: Eukaryota; Viridiplantae; Streptophyta; Magnoliopsida; Malpighiales; Euphorbiaceae
Source: RNAcentral
GAUUCUCGCUGUAAAUAUCCCAUUCUCUUCUCUGCACUUCCAGGCUCCAGCACCAAAAAAAAAAAAGUUCAAAACCUUCAAAAAAACCCUAUCAACUAAAGCUACCAACCAACCUCCCAUGGCCUCAUCUACCCAACCAACGCCUAACCGCCACCACUCUAACCUCUUCCACUCCGCCACCACUGCUCUUAUCUCUCUUAUCUCCACCACUAAAACGUCACCGUUUUCAACAAUCCCGCUAUCUCCUUCUAAAAUUUGCAUUCCUUUCCAAUUUGCUGACUCCUCUUAUCCACUCACCCAAGCCACCGGCUCCCCCUUCGACUCUACUCAGCCAGACUCGGUCUCUUCAAAAUCGGCCGCCGUUAAGGGCUUGUCCUCUGCUGAGUCGAACUCGGGCUUCCCAUCAACUGUCAGGAUUGCUGGCCUCAAAUCAAAUGGCAAGAGUGGUGGGCCCGCUUUCGUGGGUCAGGUUUUCAGCAUGUGCGACCUUUCAGGGACUGGGCUCAUGGCUGUCUCAACUCAUUUUGAUAUUCCUUUCAUUUCAAAAAGAACACCUGAAUGGCUCAAGAAGAUAUUUGCAACAGUCACCAAGAGUGAGAGGAAUGGUCCUGUGUUCCGUUUCUUCAUUGAUUUAGGUGAUGCAGGUAUGUUUUGAGUUUUGACAUCAUCUCUUAAUUUUAAAUUAUCUCAUUCUUUUCUUAAUGAUUCUUCUUGUAAUUGCUAUUCUUCAGUCUGGUCAAGUUUCUUUCCAGCAAAGGAAAAACUUACAUUCUGAUUUGAUUUAUGAUUUUAGUUACAUAUGUUAAACGGCUAAAUAUUCCAAGUGGUGUGGUGGGUGCUUGUCGUCUUGAUUUGGCAUAUGAACAUUUCAAGGUAUUGUGAACUUGAAUGAGCUCUUAUUUUUUACGUUAUAUGGCAUGUGUUGUGAGGUUGAAAUAUUGAACUCCUAUUUUACUAGUUCUUUUUUCUCUGUUUUCUUGUACUCUAUUCUGUAUGAGGUAAAUGUGCUUUAUUUCUUCACAUACCAUGAUGAGUUCCUGAUGUUAGCAAAUAUCAUCCUUUUGCUUCAAAGCGCUUUCAAAGUUAAUUAAAAAGAGAAAAGAGAGAGGAGUAAGGUGUUAGGCAGUAUGCAGUUACUGCACCUGCUAAUGUUUGGAUACUGUGUGCUGUGUACCUACUAAACAGCUCAUUACAUUCUAAAUUGGUAUCUAUAAAAAAGGGGGCAUCCUAGUGCAUGAGGUUUGGUCAGGGGAGGGUCAUAUAUCGUACACAUCCUUUUCCUGCUUUUUUUUUUUUUUGGCUGUUUUCAUGCUUUAAACCUAUGACCUUUUAGUCACAAAGGAGCUAUCUUACAGUGGUGCUACUUUUCACUAUGGUUAUAUCCCACAUGCUCUUAGAAAUUUUGUCGUUAGUGUACAGCCCAUCUGUAGCAAUUUCUUGAUACAUAUUGAUGAAUGUGCAAACCAUCCAUUGUUGGGUAGUGAGAGAGAUAAUAUGGCUUUGAAGAGAGUGAAAUAGUGGAAUAUAAUCAUUGUUAGCUGAACAAAAUUGUAGGGUUGUGGUUUUGUGAUUUGUUUAACUUCUUUUCUGAAUAUCAGAUGCUAUCAAUGUUUUCAUAGCAGAACAAUGCAAAUGAUUUUAGCAUGUAUUAUCUUCAAAAUAUAUUCAUUUACAUUUUGUCUUGUGAAUUUCUAACUUUUGUCUGCCUAUCUGGGUCAAUGCCAACUGUUUUUUUUUUUGCUUUAAAUUCUGCAGGAAAAACCUCACCUGUUUCAGUUUGUUCCAAAUGAGAAACAGGUCAAGGCAGCAAACCAACUUCUCAAGACAAUCCCUCAAGAGUAAUGGGAGGAGGAAGGUUGAUGGGUUCCUGUUUUCACUGCUCAAAAUUUAGAUAUUGCGACAGCUACUGCAAAUGGGAUUAAAUGCGGCGACAUGAUGUGGUAGAUGACAACAUGACAGCAGAAGUGAUUGAAUAAAUGGGAGAUAGCAUGUUGGAGCCUCCAGAGGUUCAGGACAUGCUGGAUGAGAUGGGGCAUCCUGGAAUACCUUUGAGUGUCAUUUCCAAAGCUGCUGAAAUCCAGCUUCUCUAUGCUGUUGACAGAGUACUCCUGGGUAAUAGGUGGUUGAGAAAAGCAACUGGCAUCCAGCCCAAGUUUCCAUAUAUGAUCGACUCAUUUGAGAAAAGGUACAUCCUAUAGUUUUUUGAGCAUAUUUUAUUUGUUUUAAAUGUGUGGUACUGGUGUGUUAUAUCUCCAUUUCCCUACGCUUGAAAACCAUGGAUUUUCAUCAUAAAUGGAUUCAACAGGGAUGUGGAGAAUUAACUAAUCAAUGUGCCCUGGUCUAGAGAACAUUAAUACCUGCAUAUGAAGUUGAUUAGCAGAUCCUUCGUUUCAUCAUUGUAUUAUUUGGCAUGCUUAGAUAGAUAUGAAAGAAUUUUCUGGCAUUGGACCUACUUUAUGGGACUUAACUACAUCAUACUUUUUAUUUGCACCCUUUUCCUGUCUGAUAGGCCUGUUUUGUAGAUUAGAGUCAUUUAUAGCAGUGAAUUGUAGCUCUGGGUGCAUGUAAACCGGAUAUUCUAAGAUUUUACUAGAGCUGAAGUGCAUAAUUUCUUAUAUAUUAGGGAUGGAGUGUUUCUUAGAAUAGUUGCGUUAAAUGUCUUCUGGAUUAAGCUUUUUUUAUUUUAGGUGAGACAUUGGCUGCCUUGUUAGUUGGUACUUUGUAGUAGUUGGUAAAAUUGAUUGUGAGAUGCAAGGUGACCAUUUUUUAUGGCAUGGAGAAGGCUGUCUUUCAAGUUUAUGCAUGACACUGCAAUCAGGUGAUUGCUUCACUUUGUUGAUGCAGGAGUGCGUCUUCUUUUCAAAGAGCCUUCGAGUCAACUGGCUAUCUUGCAAACCCUAAAACAGGUGAUGGCACUUCUAAGUGCAAAUUAAAAGACAAUGCUCAAGCCAAUCAUGAACAGAAAACAGAUUUGCCAGAUCUGCGGCUCCCAUUUGGAGAUUGGUUUGGGCAUCCAUGGUUGAAACAAAAGUGGAAACCUGAAAAGCAAUCAGAAAUAAGAUCACAUGACCCAUCAAGUGAAUGCAGAAAGCAAAAGUUAGAGCCCAAUCCUUUUCUUCCAAAGAUUACAAUGGUUGGUAUCUCAACUGGAGAGGCAGGACAAAUGAGCAAAGCUAGUUUAAAGAAGACAAUGGAGGACCUAACAAGAGAAUUGGAGCAAACAGAUCGGGAAAAUGCCCCUGGCAGUAGCAAUAAUAUUAAUGAGUUAGAAAUUGAAUAUAGGGAUCCACUAUUUGUUGCAAAUGUGGGUGAUUACUAUUCUGGUAUGUCAAGGACAAGUUCACCACGAUGGGUCAGUGGAGGAAGCAACUGAAGUCUCCUCGAGAAAAGAAAGCUUCUCAGAAAUGUAAAGUUAAUAGUGUAAUGUUUAAUAGGUCAUAUAUUCUUGGCUAUGUCGCCAAUUUUUUGCGGUUCAGUUGAUGUGGAUGCAUAGUUGUGCAUUUACGUUAUGCUAUCUCACUAUUGUAAAAUGCAACUUAUUUUGUUAUAGAUCAUCUGUUAGCUGGGAUGGUGUUGUCGAUGUGACUUGGAUUUUUAUCAAAUAAUUACAGCCUAUAACCGAUAAAUU